GCAACACAACUCAAAUCACAAUUCAAAUAAAAUAACAGUCCAGAAAAAAUAAUAAUAUUGUUUCCAAUACAAUCACAUAAUAUUCUACACAUUUAAUUCAAUUAUUCACAGCUUAAAUUUACAUAAUGAAAUACUAACUCCUUCGAAAAUUAAUCUACAAUAAUUUUAAAAUCAGGCUACUAAUUAAUUAAUUAUAACUAACAAAUAAAUACACCAAAAAAUUUUCUAAUAACUUCAAAAUAAUCUAAGUCUAAAUAAAAUUAUAUCGAUUCGAAAUCUAAAUUUUUGGGCAUCUUGAAAACAUCAGGGUCAAUCCGGAAGCGCCUAGCUUGAGUUGCAAGGAGUCCAAAUAUGCAAACAUCUUCAUUUGAAACUCGUUGAAAGCCACUAGAUCGAUAUUGGAAAGUUUUAGCUUCGGCGAGACUCACCCACUACUGCCGAGAGAGGAAAAUCGACAGGCGAGGGCUACCUUGAGGUUAUCAGGGUGUAGGAGUCUGUUUUCAGCGUCAGAUCGGUGAAACGAUGCUAGCAAGAGGUUGCUUCGGUAGCGGCAGCAGGGGAGGAAACUUCCUCCUCGCGAGCAACUCCUCCUCAAUGGUUGGAGACUGCGUGGAUGACGGCAACGAGAUGGCGGCGAAGAGGGAGCCCACGGUAGGUGAGGAACAGAAGGCGGCAAGGAGAAAAGCAACUAGGAAAAAAAGUGUAAGGGAAGAGGGAGGUGGCGUCAUUGGGAAGGAGAGAAACAGAGGAAGAAGACAUCGCUAGCGAGGAGGAAGGGAGAAGAAGCGGCAGUGACAAGAAAGGGGUGGCAGGCGGCAAUGAAAAUGGAAGGGAGUGAAGGAGAAGGAGGAAAAGGGUGACUGGGAGAGAGGAGACGGAGGGGAGGAAAAAAAUUUGAUAUGUUUUU
Molecule: long non-coding RNA, 907 nt
Filed under: Ricinus communis (castor bean)
Lineage: Eukaryota; Viridiplantae; Streptophyta; Magnoliopsida; Malpighiales; Euphorbiaceae
Description: long non-coding RNA (RCOM_LNC001079)
Source: RNAcentral